Molecule: transfer RNA, 90 nt
Filed under: Desulfovibrio sp.
Lineage: Bacteria; Pseudomonadati; Thermodesulfobacteriota; Desulfovibrionia; Desulfovibrionales; Desulfovibrionaceae
Also listed under: 3 other names
Description: tRNA-Ser
Rfam family: tRNA
About the family: Transfer RNA (tRNA) molecules are approximately 80 nucleotides in length. Their secondary structure includes four short double-helical elements and three loops (D, anti-codon, and T loops).
Source: RNAcentral
GGAAGGGUGGCAGAGCGGUUUAAUGCGGCGGUCUUGAAAACCGUUGAUGCCGUGAGGCAUCCGGGGGUUCAAAUCCCUCCCCUUCCGCCA